This 253-nucleotide ribosomal RNA is filed under the name uncultured bacterium. RNAcentral describes it as "partial 16S ribosomal RNA". It matches the Rfam family "Bacterial small subunit ribosomal RNA", at positions 524 to 776 of the family's 1533-position model. The record is from RNAcentral.
UACGGAGGGUGCGAGCGUUGUCCGGAAUCACUGGGCGUAAAGGGCGCGUAGGCGGCCUGAUAAGUAGGGGGUGAAAUCUUGCGGCUUAACCGCAAGGCUGCCUUCUAAACUGUCAGGCUAGAGCACAGUAGAGGCAGGUGGAAUUCCCGGUGUAGCGGUGAAAUGCGCAGAUAUCAGGAAGAACACCCGUGGCUAAGGCGGUUCUCUAGUACGGUACUGACGCUGAGACGCGAAAGCGUGGGGAGCAAACAGG